This 246-nucleotide ribosomal RNA is filed under the name uncultured bacterium. Its description in RNAcentral is "partial 16S ribosomal RNA". It matches the Rfam family "Bacterial small subunit ribosomal RNA", at positions 8 to 257 of the family's 1533-position model. The record is from RNAcentral.
AGAGUUUGAUCAUGGCUCAGAUUGAACGCUGGCGGAAUGCUUUACACAUGCAAGUCGAGCGGCAGCGCGGGGCAACCUGGCGGCGAGCGGCGAACGGGUGAGUAAUGCAUCGGAACAUGUCCAAUCGUGGGGGAUAGCCCGGCGAAAGCCGGAUUAAUACCGCAUACGCCCGAGAGGGGAAAGCGGGGGACCGCAAGGCCUCGCGCGAUUGGGUUGGCCGAUGUCCGAUUAGUCUUGUUGGUGACG